RNAcentral lists this long non-coding RNA (229 nucleotides) under Capsicum annuum. RNAcentral describes it as "long non-coding RNA (CANN_LNC011582)". Lineage: Eukaryota; Viridiplantae; Streptophyta; Magnoliopsida; Solanales; Solanaceae. The record is from RNAcentral.
AUAUACAUAAGAGAAAAACAAGCUGAAAGAGAGUUGAAGAUGUCGUGAAUAGAAGAGUACAGGAUAUAGGGUAUAGGUGCGUUCAUGGUGAGUGGAAGUAAGAGAGAGAGAGAGAGGGGUUUUGUUAAAUAAAGAGGAAGAAAGGGGAGAGCCCGAAUUGGCGUUUUGUUUUCUUCCCCGAAAGCGAGAGUGGAUUCUGAGAUCACAUGUAUCAAAACAAAUAAGGUCG